GACGAACGCUGGCGGCGUGCUUAACACAUGCAAGUCGAACGGAAAGGCCCUGCUUUUGUGGGGUGCUCGAGUGGCGAACGGGUGAGUAACACGUGAGUAACCUGUCCUUGACUUUGGGAUAACUUCAGGAAACUGGGGCUAAUACCGGAUAGGAGCUCCUGCUGCAUGGUGGGGGUUGGAAAGUUUCGGCGGUUGGGGAUGGACUCGCGGCUUAUCAGCUUGUUGGCGGGGUAGUGGCUUACCAAGGCUUUGACGGGUGGCCGGCCUGAGAGGGUGACCGGCCACAUUGGGACUGAGAUACGGCCCAGACUCCUACGGGAGGCAGCAGUGGGGAAUAUUGCACAAUGGGCGGAAGCCUGAUGCAGCAACGCCGCGUGCGGGAUGACGGCCUUCGGGUUGUAAACCGCUUUCGCCUGUGACGAAGCGUGAGUGACGGUAAUGGGUAAAGAAGCACCGGCUAACUACGUG
Molecule: ribosomal RNA, 468 nt
Filed under: uncultured bacterium
Lineage: Bacteria
Description: partial 16S ribosomal RNA
Rfam family: Bacterial small subunit ribosomal RNA
Source: RNAcentral